Oncorhynchus gorbuscha (pink salmon) is the source of this 170-nucleotide long non-coding RNA. RefSeq lists it as uncharacterized. The record is from RefSeq and is a predicted model, not a curated record. Lineage: Eukaryota; Metazoa; Chordata; Actinopteri; Salmoniformes; Salmonidae. The transcript has 3 exons.
UAUUAAUUACAGGUAGUGUGGUACCAUGAGGUAAUGGCUGUAUUAAUUACAGGUAGUGUGGUACCAUGAGGUAAUGGCUGUAUUAAUUACAGGUAGUGUGGUACCGUGAGGUAAUGGCUGUAUUAAUGGCUGUAUUAAUUACAGGUAGUGUGGUACCAUGAGGUAAUGGC